GAUGAAGAACGUAGCGAAAUGCGAUAAGUAAUGUGAAUUGCAGAAUUCAGUGAAUCAUCGAAUCUUUGAACGCACCUUGCACCCUUUGGCAUUCCGAAGGGUAUGCUCGUUUGAGUGUCAUUGUACUCUCACACUUCCAAUCUUUGGAUUGGGAGCAGUGGACUUGGGUGUUGCUGCUUACUGUGGCUCACCUCAAAUCGAUUCGUGCACCUCUUGGUUGGACAUAGUACGGCGUGAUAAGUGUCUUCGCCGGCACCUCAGUAGAGGGUGGCUGAUCAGGAGCUCUGUGCUUCAAACCGUCCUCGGACAAAAACUGACAACUUGACCUCAAAUCGAGUAGGACUACCCGCUGAACUUAAGCAUAUCAAUAAGGGAGGA
Molecule: unclassified non-coding RNA, 378 nt
Filed under: soil metagenome
Description: partial contains 5.8S ribosomal RNA, internal transcribed spacer 2, and large subunit ribosomal RNA
Rfam family: 5.8S ribosomal RNA (bases 1-120)
Source: RNAcentral